This 418-nucleotide ribosomal RNA is filed under the name bacterium. Its description in RNAcentral is "partial 16S ribosomal RNA". It matches the Rfam family "Bacterial small subunit ribosomal RNA", at positions 355 to 776 of the family's 1533-position model. The record is from RNAcentral.
UGGGGGAUAUUGCACAAUGGGCGAAAGCCUGAUGCAGCGACGCCGCGUGGGGGAUGAAGGCCUUCGGGUUGUAAACUUCUUUUGCUCUGAACAAGGCAUGCUAAUGGGUGUGUUGAGUGUAGGGGUUGAUUAGCGCCGGCUAACUACGUGCCAGCAGCCGCGGUAAUACGUAGGGCGCGAGCGUUGUCCGGAAUUAUUGGGCGAAAGGGCUUGUAGGUGGCUGGUUGCGUCUGUCGUGAAAGCUCAUGGCUUAACUGUGGGUUUGCGGUGGGUACGGGCUGGCUUGAGUGCAGUAGGGGAGGCUGGAAUUCCUGGUGUAGCGGUGGAAUGCGCAGAUAUCAGGAGGAAUACCGGUGGCGAAGGCGGGUCUCUGGGCUGUUACUGACACUGAGGAGCGAAAGCAUGGGGAGCGAACAGG